RNAcentral lists this ribosomal RNA (497 nucleotides) under uncultured bacterium. Its description in RNAcentral is "partial 16S ribosomal RNA". It matches the Rfam family "Bacterial small subunit ribosomal RNA", at positions 28 to 507 of the family's 1533-position model. The record is from RNAcentral.
GAUGAACGCUGGCGGCGUGCCUAAUACAUGCAAGUCGAGCGAACAGACGAGGAGCUUGCUCCUCUGACGUUAGCGGCGGACGGGUGAGUAACACGUGGAUAACCUACCUAUAAGACUGGGAUAACUUCGGGAAACCGGAGCUAAUACCGGAUAACAUGUUGAACCGCAUGGUUCAACAGUGAAAGACGGUCUUGCUGUCACUUAUAGAUGGAUCCGCGCCGCAUUAGCUAGUUGGUAAGAUAACGGCUUACCAAGGCAACGAUGCGUAGCCGACCUGAGAGGGUGAUCGGCCACACUGGAACUGAGACACGGUCCAGACUCCUACGGGAGGCAGCAGUAGGGAAUCUUCCGCAAUGGGCGAAAGCCUGACGGAGCAACGCCGCGUGAGUGAUGAAGGUCUUCGGAUCGUAAAACUCUGUUAUUAGGGAAGAACAAAUGUGUAAGUAACUAUGCACGUCUUGACGGUACCUAAUCAGAAAGCCACGGCUAACUACGUG